ACGGGUGAGUAACACGUAGGUAAUCUACCUUCGGGUGGGGAAUAACCCAGGGAAACUUGGGCUAAUACCGCAUAAUGCAGCGGCACCACAUGGUGACAGUUGUUAAAGCGGGGGAUCUUCGGAUCUCGCGCCUGAAGAGGAGCCUGCGGCAGAUUAGCUAGUUGGUAGGGUAACGGCUUACCAAGGCAACGAUCUGUAGCCGGCCUGAGAGGGCGGUCGGCCACACUGACACUGACAUACGGGUCAGACUCCUACGGGAGGCAGCAGUCGGGAAUUUUGGGCAAUGGGCGAAAGCCUGACCCAGCAACGCCGCGUGAAGGAUGAAAUCCCUCGGGAUGUAAACUUCGCAAGAAUAGGAAGAAUUAGUAGGGGUUAAUACCCCCUAUGAUGACGGUACUAUUUGUAAGCUCCGGCUAACUCCGUGCCAGCAGCCGCGGUAAUACGGGGGGAGCAAGCGUUGUUCGGAUUUACUGGGCGUAAAGGGCGCGUAGGCGGUCAGCACAAGUCAGUUGUGAAAUCUCCGGGCUUAACUCGGAAAGGUCAACUGAUACUGUGCGACUAGAGUGCAGAAGGGGCAACUGGAA
RNAcentral lists this ribosomal RNA (584 nucleotides) under uncultured bacterium. Its description in RNAcentral is "bacterial SSU rRNA". It matches the Rfam family "Bacterial small subunit ribosomal RNA", at positions 102 to 666 of the family's 1533-position model. The record is from RNAcentral.